Molecule: transfer RNA, 74 nt
Filed under: Parcubacteria group bacterium CG11_big_fil_rev_8_21_14_0_20_39_22
Lineage: Bacteria
Description: tRNA-Gly
Rfam family: tRNA
About the family: Transfer RNA (tRNA) molecules are approximately 80 nucleotides in length.
Source: RNAcentral
GCGGGUAUAGUUUAGUGGUAAAACGGGUGCUUCCCAAGCAUCAGAUGGGAGUUCGAUUCUCCCUAUCCGCACCA